This 408-nucleotide ribosomal RNA is filed under the name uncultured bacterium. RNAcentral's name for it is "partial 16S ribosomal RNA". It matches the Rfam family "Bacterial small subunit ribosomal RNA", at positions 28 to 526 of the family's 1533-position model. The record is from RNAcentral.
GACGAACGCUGGCGGCGUGCUUAACACAUGCAAGUCGAACGAAGUGGCGAACGGGUGAGUAACGCGUAAUCAACCUGCCCUUCAGAGGGGGACAACAGUGGGAAACGACUGAUAAUACCGCAUACUGAAGGAGGGGAUUGCGUCUGAGUGGCUAGUUGGGGGGGUAACGGCCCACCAAGGCGGUGACGGGUAGCCGGCCUGGGAGGGUGACCGGCCACAUUGGGACGGAGAUACGGCCCAGACGCCUACGGGAGGCAGCAGUGGGGGAUAUUGCACAAUGGGGGAACGCCUGAUGCAGCGAUGCCGCGUGGGGGAUGAAGGCUUUCGGGUUGUAAACCUCUUUCGCUAUCGAACGGGUAGGUGGAGAAGAAGCGCCGGCUAACUACGUGCCAGCAGCCGCGGUAAUAC